UACAGAGGUCUCAAGCGUUGUUCGGAUUCAUUGGCGUAAAGGGUGCGUAGGUGGCGCCGUAAGUCGGGUGUGAAAUUUCGGAGCUUAACUCCGAAACUGCAUUCGAUACUGCGGUGCUUGAGGACUGGAGAGGAGACUGGAAUUCAUGGUGUAGCAGUGAAAUGCGUAGAGAUCAUGAGGAAGACCAGUGGCGAAGGCGGGUCUCUGGACAGUUCCUGACACUGAGGCACGAAGGCCAGGGGAGCAAACGGG
RNAcentral lists this ribosomal RNA (252 nucleotides) under uncultured bacterium. Its description in RNAcentral is "partial 16S ribosomal RNA". It matches the Rfam family "Bacterial small subunit ribosomal RNA", at positions 524 to 776 of the family's 1533-position model. The record is from RNAcentral.